RNAcentral lists this ribosomal RNA (458 nucleotides) under uncultured bacterium. Its description in RNAcentral is "partial 16S ribosomal RNA". It matches the Rfam family "Bacterial small subunit ribosomal RNA", at positions 338 to 795 of the family's 1533-position model. The record is from RNAcentral.
CCUACGGGUGGCAGCAGUAGGGAAUAUUGCACAAUGGGGGAAACCCUGAUGCAGCGACGCCGCGUGGGUGAAGAAGUAAUUCGUUACGUAAAGCUCUAUCAGCAGGGAAGAAAUACUCACCUUCCGAUCAACAGGCGGUGGCUAAGUGAGAACCCCCGGCUACCUACAUGCCAGCAGCCCCGGUAAUACGUAGGGGGCAAGCGUUAUCCGGGUUUACUGGGCGGAAAGGGAGCGUAAACGGUGCGCCAAGUCAGAAGUGAAAUGCCGCAGCUUAACUACGGAACUGCAUUGGAAACUGGCGAUCUAGAGUGUGGGAGGGGUAAGGGGAAUUCUUGGUGUAGGGGUAAAAUGCGUAGAGAUUAGGAGGAACACUGGUGGCGAAGGCGGCUUACUGGACCGUAACUGACGUUGAGGCGCGAAAGCGUGGGGAGCAAACAGGAUUAGAUACCCUAGUAGUC